GAGGAAAGAGGGAGGCGUGCUUAACACAUGCAAGUCGAACGGAAAGGCCCUGCUUUUGUGGGGUGCUCGAGUGGCGAACGGGUGAGUAACACGUGAGUAACCUGCCCUUGACUUUGGGAUAACUUCAGGAAACUGGGGCUAAUACCGGAUAGGAGCUCCUGCUGCAUGGUGGGGGUUGGAAAGUUUCGGCGGUUGGGGAUGGACUCGCGGCUUAUCAGCUUGUUGGUGGGGUAGUGGCUUACCAAGGCUUUGACGGGUAGCCGGCCUGAGAGGGUGACCGGCCACAGUGGGACUGAGAUACGGCCCAGACUCCUACGGGAGGCAGCAGUGGGGAAUAUUGCACAAUGGGCGGAAGCCUGAUGCAGCAACGCCGCGUGCGGGAUGACGGCCUUCGGGUUGUAAACCGCUUUCGCCUGUGACGAAGCGUGAGUGACGGUAAUGGGUAAAGAAGCACCGGCUAACUACGUG
This 468-nucleotide ribosomal RNA is filed under the name uncultured bacterium. RNAcentral describes it as "partial 16S ribosomal RNA". It matches the Rfam family "Bacterial small subunit ribosomal RNA", at positions 38 to 507 of the family's 1533-position model. The record is from RNAcentral.